RNAcentral lists this ribosomal RNA (560 nucleotides) under Klapopteryx armillata. Its description in RNAcentral is "partial 16S ribosomal RNA". It matches the Rfam family "Bacterial large subunit ribosomal RNA", at positions 1796 to 2622 of the family's 2925-position model. The record is from RNAcentral. Lineage: Eukaryota; Metazoa; Arthropoda; Insecta; Plecoptera; Austroperlidae.
UCGCCUGUUUAUCAAAAACAUGUCCUCUUGUGUAGAAUCUGAGGUCUGACCUGCCCACUGAGAUAAAUCUUGAAGGGCCGCGGUAUUUUGACCGUGCAAAGGUAGCAUAAUCAUUAGUCUUUUAAUUGAAGGCUAGAAUGAAUGGUUGGACGAGGUAUUGACUGUCUCUGUGUAAAUGAGAUUAGAAUUUAACUUUUGAGUGAAAAGGCUCAAAUGGCUUUAAAGGACGAGAAGACCCUAUAGAGCUUUAUAAUUGAUUUUUUAUAGUUUGUUUAGUAGAAUUUUAAUUAUAAUAAAAAAAUUAUUUUGUUGGGGUGACAGGAAGAUAUAAUAAACUCUUUUUAUAUAUGAAACAUUUAUGUAUGAAUUAUUGAUCCAUUAUUAAUGAUUAAAAGUCUAAGUUACCUUAGGGAUAACAGCGUAAUCUUUUUCGAGAGUUCUUAUCGACAAAAAGGGUUGCGACCUCGAUGUUGGAUUAAGGGUAAUUUUGGGUGUAGAUGUUCAAAGUUUAGGUCUGUUCGACCUUUAAAUCCUUACAUGAUCUGAGUUCAAACCGGAGA